Long non-coding RNA from Octopus sinensis (East Asian common octopus), 341 nucleotides. RefSeq lists it as uncharacterized. The transcript is spliced from 3 exons. The record is from RefSeq and is a predicted model, not a curated record. Lineage: Eukaryota; Metazoa; Mollusca; Cephalopoda; Octopoda; Octopodidae.
ACAUGAUCUAAGAGCAAAAGCCAGUGCAGCACCUUUCCCACUUCUUUGUUGUGUUCAAAAUAUUGACGAGUAACAUAAUGACAGCAAUUUAAUUUGUCGAAACCCAUCGUUAACGAAAGAAGACGCCCUUGAGAUCCGCUGCUUCUACUCAAAGGAACAAGACCAAGAAUUUUGAAUAAGCCUGUGAUAUACAGGGUAAAAAGUCAGGUAAGCGUAGCAGGAUUUGAUCUCAUAAUUUUGAGAACUGAAGCAAAAUAUUAAACAUCAGUAAGUUCAGCUGCAGGGAAAAUUGAUAACUAAGCAAUGAUCCAUUCUUUUUUCUUUUAAUCUUAAUUAUAGAA